This 252-nucleotide ribosomal RNA is filed under the name uncultured bacterium. RNAcentral describes it as "partial 16S ribosomal RNA". It matches the Rfam family "Bacterial small subunit ribosomal RNA", at positions 524 to 776 of the family's 1533-position model. The record is from RNAcentral.
UACGGAGGAUGCGAGCGUUAUCCGGAUUUAUUGGGUUUAAAGGGUGCGCAGGCGGAGUGCCAAGUCAGCGGUAAAAAUUCGGGGCUCAACCCCGUCGUGCCGUUGAAACUGGCGCCCUUGAGUGGGCGAGAAGUAUGCGGAAUGCGUGGUGUAGCGGUGAAAUGCAUAGAUAUCACGCAGAACCCCGAUUGCGAAGGCAGCAUACCGGCGCCCGACUGACGCUGAAGCACGAAAGCGUGGGUAUCGAACAGG